UACGUAGGGUGCAGGCGUUAAUCGGAAUUACUGGGCGUAAAGCGUGCGCAGGCGGUCUCUUAAGACAGGUGUGAAAUCCCCGGGCUUAACCUGGGAACUGCGGUUGAAACUAGUCGACUAGAAUCUGGCAGAGGGGGGUGGAAUUCCACGUGUAGCAGUGAAAUGCGUAGAGAUGUGGAGGAAUACCGAUGGCGAAGGCAGCCUCCUGGGCCAACACUGACGCUCAUGCACGAAAGCGUGGGGAGCAAACAGG
This 253-nucleotide ribosomal RNA is filed under the name uncultured bacterium. Its description in RNAcentral is "partial 16S ribosomal RNA". It matches the Rfam family "Bacterial small subunit ribosomal RNA", at positions 524 to 776 of the family's 1533-position model. The record is from RNAcentral.